UACAGAGGUCCCGAGCGUUGUUCGGAUUCACUGGGCGUAAAGGGCUCGUAGGCGGCCAACUAAGUCGGACGUGAAAUCCCUCGGCUUAACCGGGGAACUGCGUCUGAUACUGGUUGGCUUGAGUGUGGGAGAGGGAUGCGGAAUUCCAGGUGUAGCGGUGAAAUGCGUAGAUAUCUGGAGGAACACCGGUGGCGAAGGCGGCAUCCUGGACCAUUACUGACGCUGAGGAGCGAAAGCCAGGGGAGCAAACGGG
RNAcentral lists this ribosomal RNA (253 nucleotides) under uncultured bacterium. RNAcentral describes it as "partial 16S ribosomal RNA". It matches the Rfam family "Bacterial small subunit ribosomal RNA", at positions 524 to 776 of the family's 1533-position model. The record is from RNAcentral.